Molecule: long non-coding RNA, 1961 nt
Organism: Zingiber officinale
Lineage: Eukaryota; Viridiplantae; Streptophyta; Magnoliopsida; Zingiberales; Zingiberaceae
Exons: 3
Source: RefSeq, a predicted model, not a curated record
GUCGGUCUGACAAGAGGUAAUUUCUCCUUAGAGGAGUAGGUGAGGACGCGUUCCCCGUUGAGGGAAUAGUAGACGUCGGUUCGACCUAGGAUUUUCGGGAAAUCCAAAAAGUCAGAACCGAACAGUUCGAAAACUAUCAAUCACUUAUAUUAUUCAUAUUUUAUUGUGCUAACUUUGUUUUGCAGGUAUACUUUGUUUGUGGACUAAUAUGCCUUGCAGGAAGGGAGUUGUACAAGGAAAAGCUCGGAUGAACAUUGUCCGAGGCCCCUCCAGGGCUGUUGGAGGCGCCUCGGGUGCCUUAGUCGAAGGCCUUGUGCAGCAAGGUGCGAAGGUGCCUUGGAUGCUGGUGGAAGGCGCCUUCUAUGGAGCUUGAAGGCGCCUUCAGACAGAUACAAUUCGCAGAAAGCGGAAUUUAUCGACGACAGAAUCUGCGGGGAUAAGUGCUUAGCUGGAGGCGCCUUCCAUGGAGCUUGAAGGCGCCUUCAACAACCUAUAUAGGGUAGUCUCGAGCCGAGCCUCUAUAACACUGACUUUUGCGAUCAUUCUACGACACACUCCUCUAAAAGACGAUUUUGCGACUCUGUGACGCAACUCCGGCGACCGAGCGAUGCGACUCCGACGAUCGAAAGCACGACCUUCUAAGAUCCUCAAAAGUUGUCAGUAUAUGUUUAAUUGUUGCACUUAAUUAAUUAUACUUCAAGUUGUAAUUCUUCGAAUCUAUAGUGAUUGCCCAACGAAAGCGAUCGACGAUCGCAGAUCUUGGAGUAGGAGUCGCCACAUGCUCCGAACCAAGUAAAGAAAAGUAUUAGCGCUUGUUUUGCUUCCGCUUUAUUUCGUAUUUCCGUUGCAUUACUCUGUGCUUUCCGAAACGAGUGUACUAUGUGCUUUCCAAAACGAGUGCUAUUCACCCCCCCAGCGCAUCUCGAUCCUACAGUUAACAACCUUUUCUAUCUUGGUCUUUGAGCAUGUGUUGUCUCCAAACCAUAAUAAAUGUUCUUAAACCCAAGAUUAAAUCUCUGAUAGUGCUGUUAUACAGAUUUGAAGUCCUGAUAUUUGGCAGAAAGUUAUAUUACUACAAACUCUUUUUCAUUAUACCAUUUCUUUGAUAGUUGACUGUACAAUGCAGUUUUUUACAUGCCACUCUAUAUGUAAGCAUUCUCCCAUCACUUGUUUUGCUUGCCCAUUCAAUCUUGUGCCUUUCUGAAUUUAUUAUCAGUUAUUUGAUUACUUUACACGAGGCAAAAUGUGACAAUUGCUCAUGACUUGUGUGUUCUUAUUGUGUACCUUCAGAGCAGGACAUUUUGACAGAUCUACAUAUAAUGAUAGUGAUCUUCGGUCUGCGUACCAUAUUCGUGAAUAUGAUGUAAUGUAGUGCAAGCAAAUUAGGGACCCAAUAGAUAUUUUCAUAUCACAUCACAUGACUGGCCUGUUGGUAUCUAUGAAUAUGGAAAUCUGUAGAGUCUUGUUCAAGAUAAACCAUUUUCUAAAGAAGAGAUCCAGAAUCGAACUCUUGGUAGUAUGCCUGCUGCUGAGCUUCUGAGCCAACUGAAACCUCAGUAUUGGUUUUCAUCUCAUCUUCACUUCAAAUUUUCAGCUGUUGUUAAAAGCAAGGAGGAUGGAUGGUUCUGUAACAAAGUUCCUAACUCUUGACAAAUGCCUUCCUGGUCGGAGUUUUUUACAGGUUUUCAGCACAUCACAAUCAAGCUUAGCGUUGGCUGGGCGGUUGAUGAAGAAAUGGGCCUUCUUUCUGUUACCAGAGGCUACUCUAACUAAAGAAAUUAGCCAUUUAUUUCAGAUUCCCCCUUAAACCUAUCAACCCAUAAGCCUCCUGUCUCUUAGAAAUGUGCGUAUUAAAAGAGUCGAUUUAAGCAGGGUCAUAACUAUUGUGUUGACUAGUCACUUCUACAUUGUUUUCACGUGUUUUGUUAAAUUACCUCAUAAGGCACGUAAGCAGCUUUGUU